Molecule: ribosomal RNA, 399 nt
Filed under: Bacillus zhangzhouensis
Lineage: Bacteria; Bacillati; Bacillota; Bacilli; Caryophanales; Bacillaceae
Description: bacterial SSU rRNA
Rfam family: Bacterial small subunit ribosomal RNA
Source: RNAcentral
GCUGUUUCACCUGCAAGUCGAGCGGACAGAAGGGAGCUUGCUCCCGGAUGUUAGCGGCGGACGGGUGAGUAACACGUGGGUAACCUGCCUGUAAGACUGGGAUAACUCCGGGAAACCGGAGCUAAUACCGGAUAGUUCCUUGAACCGCAUGGUUCAAGGAUGAAAGACGGUUUCGGCUGUCACUUACAGAUGGACCCGCGGCGCAUUAGCUAGUUGGUGGGGUAAUGGCUCACCAAGGCGACGAUGCGUAGCCGACCUGAGAGGGUGAUCGGCCACACUGGGACUGAAACACGCCCCAGACUCCUACGGGAGGCAGCAGUAGGGAAUCUUCCGCAAUGAACGAAAGUCUGACGAAACAACGCCGCGUAAGUGAUAAAGGUUUUCGAAUCGUAAACUUUU